UACGAAGGGGGCUAGCGUUGCUCGGAAUUACUGGGCGUAAAGGGCGCGUAGGCGGACAGUUUAGUCAGAGGUGAAAGCCCAGGGCUCAACCUUGGAAUUGCCUUUGAUACUGGCUGUCUUGAGUUCGGGAGAGGUGAGUGGAAUGCCGAGUGUAGAGGUGAAAUUCGUAGAUAUUCGGCGGAACACCAGUGGCGAAGGCGACUCACUGGCCCGAUACUGACGCUGGAGGCGCGAAAGCGUGGGGAGCAAACAGGG
RNAcentral lists this ribosomal RNA (255 nucleotides) under uncultured bacterium. RNAcentral's name for it is "partial 16S ribosomal RNA". It matches the Rfam family "Bacterial small subunit ribosomal RNA", at positions 524 to 777 of the family's 1533-position model. The record is from RNAcentral.